Molecule: long non-coding RNA, 1852 nt
Filed under: Androctonus crassicauda
Lineage: Eukaryota; Metazoa; Arthropoda; Arachnida; Scorpiones; Buthidae
Source: RNAcentral
UUUAACGUAUUUCUUAUUCCUUCCUGUUUUAUAAAAAUCAAAUUUUCCACAUUGUUUUGAAUGUUUUUUAAAAAAAAAAAAAAAAAACCCGUAUUAUCGAAAAUGAGAGAGAAAAUUAUCAUAAUCAGCAUUAGUUGAUAAAUACUAGGACGAUAUUUUAUUAUAGACGUUACAGAAACGCUUUUCGUGGACAGACUGUCACUCAUAUCGUCGCGUCGCUUGUACGUUUGACACGGCCUUACUUGUAAAUUUUAUUUGGUAACUUCUCUAAAAUAAUAUUGCUUUACUAUAUAAUUAUAAGAUUUGGCAUUAGUUUAAACUUCAUAUCCGUUAAAUUAUAGUGUUUCUUUAAUAUCGAUAUUCCUGCAUGAGCAAUAAUAAUUCGGUAUGCGUUGUAAUUAGCGCAGAAAAAAGAAAACAUUAUAUUGACAGAGUUACAUUAGGAACACACAUUCUUUAAUAACACGUUAUUUUAUAUCGAAAAUCGAUUAGCAGAAUAACAUUCGUCCUAUUAAAAUAUGUGACGUAUACAUUCGGGCGGAUAUAGAUCCAAUUGUUAGUAUUAAAGUGUAGCCAACAAAAAAAAAAAAAACAUUUUUGUGUGUUGGUGUGUGUGUGCAUUGACCCCAUUUCCGCUGGCCGAACACUAAGAGGAAAUUGUGUUUGUUGUAGAAACAUGAAAAUAACAUAAUAUAAGAUCACGUAUUUAUAUAAUGGAGCAUGUAAAUAAAUAAUUCUCUGUAACAUAAUGAAUUUCAUUUGUACUCCAUUUCACGUGACAGGCAUUGUAAAUUGAAUCAGAUUGUCACAUUGAUACAUAUACCGUGUUGAUUUAGUUUCAUCGUGCAUUGGUUUUAAUUUCCUUUAAUUAUUCUUGUCAAGGACGAUAGCUAAAAAUGUCACACACGACGAAAACUACGACUUUUUUCGCUAUUCUUUGGUAAAUUUUAUUUAAUGCGUACUGUUACAGUUUGGUCAUCGUUCUUCUAGAACACACACACAUAUAUAUAUAUUAAUGUUUUUUCAGGUGUUUCCGAUUAUUGCUCAAUAAGAGGAAAGUCUGUUUUUCUCAUGUUUAAUAUCUCCUGUCAUAUAAUGUUUAACUCUUUUAAUUAUUAUUAUUUAUUUUUAUGGAUUUUUCCGCGACGAAUUUUUUAUUUUUGUGCAUAAACCGGUUAGGUUUCCGUUAUCUGUGCUCGGACAGACAGAGCGACAUAAACUUGGCGCCUUCGAUAACAAUUGUCUUUCCUAUUACAGUAGUUAUUAUACAACUAUUCGAAUACGAAUGUCAUCUGGAAACUGUUAAUGGUCGGAUAUUGGAGUGCAUUCUUACUACGUUUGUCAGUCGCACUGUUCGUGUACCAAUAGUAGUAGUAGUUUAACAAUAAUACCGUACGUCACAUUUAAACACAUUAUCCUUGUUUAAGAAGAUUGAACUUUUUCGGUUGCGUGGCGAUGAGAGUAAUUAAUACUCCCCAUUUGGCGCAUUAAAAUUUCAAAUUUUGUCCUUUAUUCCUGUUUUGUAAUCUUUGCUUAGGCUUUCUUGCGCGUCAAAGACGCGAACGAUACUAAGAUACAAUGGUAAAUUAUAUAAACCAUCUUAAAAGUGAUAUAGGCUUUAAAUAAACAGCAUUAAAAGCUUUACCGUGAUGCAUUUUAUCGUUCUGAAACUGCUUAUCUAACUAUUAUCUAAUGCCGAAUGGUAACUGUGUGUGCUUUUACAAUUCUCGAUAGUGUCGUUGGUUUGAAUAAAUAACAAAGAUACAUCCAUUAACGCUUAACAUUUCGUAUUACUCGGUUAUUAUUGUAACCUACGCAGUGCUAAUACGUUUUUAAUAUCGUAGAAAUUAUU